This 465-nucleotide ribosomal RNA is filed under the name Vreelandella stevensii. Its description in RNAcentral is "partial 16S ribosomal RNA". It matches the Rfam family "Bacterial small subunit ribosomal RNA", at positions 338 to 795 of the family's 1533-position model. The record is from RNAcentral. Lineage: Bacteria; Pseudomonadati; Pseudomonadota; Gammaproteobacteria; Oceanospirillales; Halomonadaceae.
CCUACGGGUGGCAGCAGUGGGGAAUAUUGGACAAUGGGGGCAACCCUGAUCCAGCCAUGCCGCGUGUGUGAAGAAGGCCCUCGGGUUGUAAAGCACUUUCAGUGAGGAAGAACGCCUGGUGGUUAAUACCCAUCAGGAAAGACAUCACUCACAGAAGAAGCACCGGCUAACUCCGUGCCAGCAGCCGCGGUAAUACGGAGGGUGCGAGCGUUAAUCGGAAUUACUGGGCGUAAAGCGCGCGUAGGUGGCUUGAUAAGCCGGUUGUGAAAGCCCCGGGCUCAACCUGGGAACGGCAUCCGGAACUGUCAAGCUAGAGUGCAGGAGAGGAAGGUAGAAUUCCCGGUGUAGCGGUGAAAUGCGUAGAGAUCGGGAGGAAUACCAGUGGCGAAGGCGGGUUUCUGGACUGACACUGACACUGAGGUGCGAAAGCGUGGGGAGCAAACAGGAUUAGAUACCCUAGUAGUC